GCAGAUUGGAGAACUAUGCUCCCCAGGACAAGCGCUUCUCAGGCACCGUCUGGCUUAAGUCCACUCCCCACCCUAAAUUCUCAGUGUGGGGCCCGGGGAACCAGCAGCACUGGCCAAGGCUGUGGAUAUCUCCCACAUGCACAUGGAAGCGCUGAAGAAACUCAAUAAGAAUAAGAAGCUGGUCAAGAAAUAUGAUGCCUUUUUGGCCUCAGAGUCUUUGAUCAAGCAGAUUCCACGAAUCCUGGGCCCAUACCUAAAUAAGGAUGGCAAAUUCCCUUCCCUGAUGACACACAAUGAAAACAAGGUGGCCAAAGUUGAUGAGGUGAAAUCCACAGUCAAGUUUCAAAAGAAGAAGGUGCUGUGUCUGGCUGUUGCUGUUGGUCAUGUGAAGAUGACAGAUGAUGAGCUUGUCUACAACAUGCACCUGGCUGUCAACUUCCUGGUGUCAUUAUUGCUCAAGAAGAAUUGGCAGAAUGUCUGGGCAUUAUACAUCAAGAGCACCAUGGGCAAGUCCCAGCGCCUGUAUUAAGGCACAUCCUAAUAAAUCCUAGUGCUACCAAAAAAAAAAAAAAAAAAAA
Ictidomys tridecemlineatus (thirteen-lined ground squirrel) is the source of this 578-nucleotide non-coding RNA. The record is from RefSeq and is a predicted model, not a curated record. Lineage: Eukaryota; Metazoa; Chordata; Mammalia; Rodentia; Sciuridae.